CUGUCCUUGUUUUGGGGGACAAUUGGAUUGAUGUUUUAUCACCCUUUUGCCCCCCCCUCCUAGUUUAAAUACAUCCUAGCAAAACCUCUGAACUGCUCACUGAGAACAUUUGUUCCCUUUGAGAAAGAUGCAAACCAUCUUUUUUGUACAGCUUAUCUCCAUUCCAAACAGAGCUACCAUGAGAAAUAAAGCCAAAUCCUUGCUCCUGACACCAUUCACCAAGCCACAAAUUAAAGUCCCUAAUACGCAUCCGCCUGUCGUUCUGAUUGUUAUUCACAGGCAGAACUUCAGAGAAUGACAGUGUGGAAGCAACCUGCCGUAUAUCAUUGGCAAAAACACUAAAAACUUCCUUAACCUCUGAAACCUCAUUGCAAGCCAAGUCAUUUGUCCCUAGAUGGACAAGUACAUCCAAUUCCCCUUCCUGCUUUGCUUGCUUAACAAUAUUACAGAUACGUCUCCUGUCUCUGUGAGCAGUAGCUCCGGGAAGACACCUCACAAGACCACCAUUGUCCAUCUCCACACCUCUUAUAAUGGAAUCCCCCAACAACAACUGCUUUCUAUUAGGCCUCACCAUAGUCUCCAAGCCGGUCUCCACAACACCACUAGUCUCAGUGCCUCUCUCCACAACACCACUAGUCUCAGUGCCUCUCUCCACAACACCACUAG
This is a non-coding RNA of Pelobates cultripes (western spadefoot toad), 666 nucleotides long. The record is from the annotation of a GenBank genome assembly. NCBI's taxonomy places the organism in Eukaryota, Metazoa, Chordata, Amphibia, Anura, Pelobatidae.